AUUGAACGCUGGCGGCAGGCCUAACACAUGCAAGUCGAGCGGAUGACGGGAGCUUGCUCCUUGAUUCAGCGGCGGACGGGUGAGUAAUGCCUAGGAAUCUGCCUGGUAGUGGGGGACAACGUUUCGAAAGGAACGCUAGUACCGCAUACGUCCUACGGGAGAAAGCAGGGGACCUUCGGGCCUUGCACUAUCAGAUGAGCCUAGGUCGGAUUAGCUAGUUGGGGGGGUAAUGGCUCACCAAGGCGACGAUCCGUAACUGGUCCGAGAGGAUGAUCAGUCACACUGGAACUGAGACACGGUCCAGACUCCUACGGGAGGCAGCAGUGGGGAAUAUUGGACAAUGGGCGAAAGCCUGAUCCAGCCAUGCCGCGUGUGUGAAGAAGGUCUUCGGAUUGUAAAGCACUUUAAGUUGGGAGGAAGGGCAGUAAGUUAAUACCUUGCUGUUUUGACGUUACCGACAGAAUAAGCACCGGCUAACUCUGUGCCAGCCGCCGCAGUAA
RNAcentral lists this ribosomal RNA (500 nucleotides) under uncultured bacterium. Its description in RNAcentral is "partial 16S ribosomal RNA". It matches the Rfam family "Bacterial small subunit ribosomal RNA", at positions 30 to 523 of the family's 1533-position model. The record is from RNAcentral.